UUCCAGCUGACGAGCCCCAAAUAAGACAAAACGCUCGUCCUGGAU
RNAcentral lists this non-coding RNA (45 nucleotides) under Schistosoma mansoni. Lineage: Eukaryota; Metazoa; Platyhelminthes; Trematoda; Strigeidida; Schistosomatidae. The record is from RNAcentral.